This 58-nucleotide transfer RNA is filed under the name Loxodonta africana (African savanna elephant). It matches the Rfam family "tRNA", at positions 8 to 63 of the family's 71-position model. Rfam says of the family: Transfer RNA (tRNA) molecules are approximately 80 nucleotides in length. Lineage: Eukaryota; Metazoa; Chordata; Mammalia; Proboscidea; Elephantidae. The record is from Rfam by way of RNAcentral.
UAGCUCAGUGGUUAAAGCACUCAGCUGCUAACUGAAAAGUUGGUGGUUCAAACCCACC